RNAcentral lists this ribosomal RNA (604 nucleotides) under Anthonomus eugenii (pepper weevil). RNAcentral describes it as "SSU rRNA". It matches the Rfam family "Eukaryotic small subunit ribosomal RNA", at positions 632 to 1198 of the family's 1831-position model. The record is from RNAcentral. Lineage: Eukaryota; Metazoa; Arthropoda; Insecta; Coleoptera; Curculionidae.
AGUCGAAUUUGUGUCUCGUGCCGCUGGUUCAUCGUUCGCGGUGUUAACUGACGAGUCGCGAGACGUCCUGCCGGUGGGCUUAGCUCGCGAGGGCGGCCCAACUCAAUCCUGCCGCGGUGCUCUUCAUUGAGUGUCGAGGUGGGCCGGCACGUUUACUUUGAACAAAUUAGAGUGCUUAAAGCAGGCUAAAACUUUGCCUGAAUACUGUGUGCAUGGAAUAAUGGAAUAGGACCUCGGUUCUAUUUUGUUGGUUUUCGGAACCCCGAGGUAAUGAUUAAUAGGAACGGAUGGGGGCAUUCGUAUUGCGACGUUAGAGGUGAAAUUCUUGGAUCGUCGCAAGACGAACAGAAGCGAAAGCAUUUGCCAAAAACGCUUUCAUUGAUCAAGAACGAAAGUUAGAGGUGCGAAGGCGAUCAGAUACCGCCCUAGUUCUAACCAUAAACGAUGCCAGCUAGCGAUCCGUCGACGUUCCUCCGAUGACUCGACGGGCAGCUUCCGGGAAACCAAAGCUUUUGGGUUCCGGGGGAAGUAUGGUUGCAAAGCUGAAACUUAAAGGAAUUGACGGAAGGGCACCACCAGGAGUGGAGCCUGCGGCUUAAUUUGA